RNAcentral lists this ribosomal RNA (402 nucleotides) under uncultured bacterium. Its description in RNAcentral is "bacterial SSU rRNA". It matches the Rfam family "Bacterial small subunit ribosomal RNA", at positions 355 to 774 of the family's 1533-position model. The record is from RNAcentral.
UGGGGAAUCUUGCACAAUGGGGGCAACCCUGAUGCAGCGACGCCGCGUGAGCGAUGAAGCCCUUCGGGGCGUAAAGCUCUUUCGACCGGAACGAUAAUGACGGUACCGGGAGAAGAAGCUGCGGCUAACUACGUGCCAGCAGCCACGGUAAUACGUAGGACCCAAGCGUUGUCCGGAUUUACUGGGUGUAAAGGGUGCGCAGGCGGAUGGGUAAGUCAGGGGUGAAAGUCUGCAGCUUAACUGUAGAAUUGCCUUUGAUACUGCUCAUCUUGAAUGUGGGAGAGGUUGAUGGAAUUCCAGGUGUAGCAGUGAAAUGCGUAGAUAUCUGGAAGAACACCAGUGGCGAAGGCGGUCAACUGGCCCAUAACUGACGCUCAUGCACGAAAGCGUGGGGAGCAAACA